GGAUGAAUAUUGGUCAAUGGGCGAGAGCCUGAACCAGCCAAGUCGCGUGAGGGAUGACGGCCCUACGGGUUGUAAACCUCUUUUAUAAGGGAAUAAAGGACAUCACGUGUGUUGUUUUGCAUGUACCUUAUGAAUAAGCAUCGGCUAACUCCGUGCCAGCAGCCGCGGUAAUACGGAGGAUGCGAGCGUUAUCCGGAUUCAUUGGGUUUAAAGGGUGCGUAGGUUGCCGAUUAAGUCAGCGGUGAAAGUCAGUGGCUCAACCAUUGAACUGCCGUUGAAACUGGUUGGCUUGAGUACGUACGGGGCGAGGCGGAAUGCGUGGUGUAGCGGUGAAAUGCAUAGAUAUCACGCAGAACCCCGAUCGCGAAGGCAGCCUGCCCGGCCGUGACUGACACUGA
Molecule: ribosomal RNA, 398 nt
Filed under: uncultured Parabacteroides sp.
Lineage: Bacteria; Pseudomonadati; Bacteroidota; Bacteroidia; Bacteroidales; Tannerellaceae
Description: bacterial SSU rRNA
Rfam family: Bacterial small subunit ribosomal RNA
Source: RNAcentral